CCCCGUGAGGCCGGAGAGAAUCGCUUGCGGGCUUUCGCAGGCGGAGAAAGGGCCGGCCCUCGAUGCGCUAGGGCUUGAUUUGCCGCCCUCCUCCGGCGGCGGCAACGGUCGCGGAGGCGGCGCCUCACCUAGCUGCGCGGGACCUCACCUAGCUGUGCCAGCCUUAGUCGGGGAGCUGCUGGUGGGAGGCGGCGACUGAGGAAGAUGAAGAUCAGUUUCAGACCAUGAGACUCAUUGGGUGAUCAUUUCAUUGAGAUCAACCUGCAUGACCAGGUGUAAAGUGCAAGAGUAAUAUGCUAUGACUGAGGCAACUCAAAUUUUUUAAUUGCCAAUUUCUGCUCCUUUUGAUUCUACAAAAGAAACUAUGUUUCCAGUAACCCCUAAACCCCAGGAUUCCAAUCAACCAUCAGACAGAUUCAUGACUGAAAAACAGCAGGAAGAAGCAGAAUGGGAAAGCAUAAAUGUGUUGUUGAUGAUGCAUGGCUUAAAACCUUUGUCCCUAGUCAAAAGAACAGAUUUCAAAGAUCUCAUCAUUUUUGACAAACAGUCAUCACAAAGGAUGAGACAGAAUUUGAAACUGUUGGUGGAAGAAACAUCACGUCAACAGAACAUGAUACAGGAGCUUAUAGAAACAAAUCAGCAUCUUAGAAAUGAACUUCAGCUAGAGCAAAGCCGAGCAGCCCAUCAAGAACAACGAGCUAAUGACUUGGAACAAAUUAUGGAGAGUGUGAAAUCCAAAAUUGGUGAAUUGGAGGAUGAAUCACUAAAUAGGUUUUGCCAGCGACAGAAUAAAAUAAAAGAUCUUCAACAGGAGCAGAAAACUUUACAGGUGAAGUGCCAGCAUUAUAAGAAAAAACGAAUGGAACAAGAAGAAACUAUUGCUUCUUUGCAAAAGGAAGUCUGUAGAUUAAGAAAGGAGGAAGAAGAUCGCAUUGUCACUCAAAACAGAGUGUUUGCCUAUCUGUGCAAAAGAGUUCCUCAUACUGUCUUGGAUAGACGGUUGCUUUGUCUGAUUGAUUACUAUGAAUCUAAAAUUAGAAACAUUCAUAUGCAAAGGCAAUAUAAAGAAGAUGAAAGUCAGUCAGAAGAAGAAAAGGACUACAGAAAUCUGGAUGCCUCACCAACUUAUAAAGGCCUUUUAAUGUCAUUACAGAAUCAACUCAAAGAAUCAAAAUCUAAGAUUGAUGCACUUUUAAGUGAAAAGCUGAACCUACAAAAAGAUUUGGAAACCAGGCCCACACAGCAUGAAUUAAGAAUUUAUAAACAGCAGGUGAAGAAACUGGAAAAAGCCCUUAAGAAAAAUGUCAAAUUACAGGAGCUUAUUAGUCAUAAGAAGGCUGAGGACACAGAGAAAAAAGAUGAGCCCAGCAAAUAUAAUCAGCAACAGGCCCUAAUUGACCAGAGAUACUUUCAGGUGCUAUGUAGCAUCAACUCAAUUAUCCACAAUCCAAGAGCUCCAGUAAUAAUUUAUAAACAGAGCAAAGGGGGAUCCCAAAAUUUUAAUAAAGAUCUUGUUCAAGAUUGUGGAUUUGAGCAUCUUGUUCCCAUAAUAGAAAUGUGGGCAGAUCAGCUGACAUCCCUAAAGGAUUUGUAUAAGUCCUUGAAAACACUAUCUGCAGAACUGGUACCUUGGCAUAAUCUGAAGAAGCAGGAUGCAAAUGAAGGUAUCAAAGUUGAAGAUUUGUUAUUUAUAGUAGAUACUAUGUUGGAAGAAGUUGAAAAUAAAGAAAAGGACAGCAAUAUGCCAAACUUUCAAACUUUGCAAGCUAUUGUCUCUCACUUCCAAAAAUUAUUUGAUGUGCCUUCUUUAAAUGGAGUCUAUCCUCGAAUGAAUGAAGUUUAUACUAGGCUUGGAGAAAUGAACAAUGCUGUGAGAAACCUCCAAGAACUCUUAGAAUUAGAUAGUUCAUCUUCAUUGUGUGUGUUGGUAAGCACUGUUGGAAAACUCUGUAGGCUGAUUAAUGAAGAUGUGAAUGAGCAGGUUAUGCAGGUAUUAGGACCUGAAGACCUCCAGAGCAUUAUCAACAAAUUGGAAGAACAUGAGGAAUUUUUCCCAGCAUUUCAGGCAUUUACUAAUGAUCUACUUGAAAUCUUAGGCUGAAACUUCCUUGGGUAACUCGUACAUCCUUGCUGCAUUUUAUGUAAGAGUACUUUACUUGCUGCCUUGUAUUUAUUCUAUAUUCUCAAUAUUUAGUCACAUUUUCUUAAGGGUCAGUGUUCUGCCCCAUACCCAUGAGUACAAGCCACUUUGGACUAUGCUUCCCCAUUCUGUAAGUAGAAGGCCUAGGAAGAUUUCUCUGUCAUUCUUGUUGGUGGGCACAUAGAAUAUUAUAACACAUUUCCAGGAAGCAGCAUGGUGGAAUGGUGAGUAAAUGUCAGCAAACAGGCAUCCACAUCCUUGGUGUUGUGACCUUAGAGAUCAGACAUAAGAUAAUAGGCUCCUUCUAAAUUUAAAAUUCUUUGUCGUGAUACUUUGCAGUUACAUUUCUAAACACUAACUUAAAAUUUGUGGAAGAACUUGUCUUGAGGGUUGGGUACAAAAAAGUGCUUGGAUAUUCAAUAAUGUAAACACUAUGAAUUGAUUAAAUUAUUCUAAGAAAUUGAAGGCAGGCCAAGAUGGUGGAAGAGAAGCCUACAGUAUUGAUCCCCAUGGCAGGAACACCAAAUUUUAACAAGCGUCUACACACGGAAAAGCACCAUCACAAGAACCAAGAAUCAGGGUUGAUUUUUCUUUACAACUUUUUCUCCUCCACUGCUAAUUUGGAAGUUUUACAUAUCAACUUUAUUGGCUUUCUACUAUUACUUUAUUUUUAUAGUUAUUUUGCAAUUUUGAACACAUACCAAGGAGACAGAAACCAUAUUGCACAGGUAACCAAACAUGAAAAACUUAAUCACAUUUUACUAGUUAGCAAUUCUUGUGUUUACUACUAAAAGGGGUAGAAGUGGACUCUAGGGGAUACAGAAUAUCAACUUCGGGAUACAGAUGCUUUCCCCCAGGGGUAAAGGAGAGAGAACAAGAAAGGGAGUUAGAAACUAGCUAAGUGCCUCCCUACCAGGCUGAGAUUUAGACUUCCUCUGGCUGCCAUAGGAACAUGCAACCCAUUUGUGGCUAAGAAACUUGCCAAAAGGUGCUGUCUGCUGAUAAAACAUAAAGACCAUGAUUCUUAGGGCAUGAGCCAAGGGUAAACUGUGGGGUGUGCUUAGGUAAUUGAGAACAUCUCCAUACGCCAAUGGAAAACAGCAGAACAGCCUCUUCUUCCUGCUGUAGCCUUGCAGUGUCCUUCCAUCGCCCCCUAUUGGCAAAGCCCGCUGAGAAGUGGGGAAAGGAGACAGACAUCAAUUUGAAGCUGAGAGGUAAUGAAUUUGUUACUGACUCGCAGAGAGUUAUAUUUUUAAGAUAAAUAUCUUUAGCUUCCUAAAUAACGUAUGGUCUUGAAUACUUUCUUCUUCUGAAUCGCCCUAGCUGCCUCUUCUUAGUACUAGCAUUUUAGUUCUACUGUAUUUCUGAACACAAAAUCUUUGCUUAUUUGUUUAUAUCUUGUGAACAAUCAAAACUUACUUAGGUUUGCCAGAGUAUUUUAUGGAUUUCUUUGCUCUCCACUGCUUCUCCUUACUGGUACAUUUCCUUCUUGCUGAACUAUAUCUAUGGCUAUUUUUCAGUUUGAUAUUUCUGCACGUUUAAUAUUUUUUUAGUCUGUUUUUGUUUUGUGUCAUAAUUUUUGCCCGUGGGUUUCCCUUUAGUGACAGCUAUCUGCUGCAGUUGUCAUACAUGUGCCCUGGAUGUGAGUGGCAAUGCUGUGGGGCCACUUUUAUGGUUGCCUCCAUCGAGGUUUCACAGGUUCCAGGUUCUAAACGAAUAUUCACAUUCCUUCCUAGGUUUGGGGGUUUCUGUACCAAGUUGAUGUUAACUUCAGACCCUAUGCCCCUGCAUAUUAGCUGAUUGUUUGCACCCACUGCUGAAAACCAAAUCUUGUCCUCAGUGGCAGCCAAGGUAUUAACAACUUUUCAGGCUCCCUGCCCCUUACACAGGGCCUGUCUAUAGAACCUUGGCUCCUAUCUGGUGGUAUUAAAAUUCUGGUUCCCUUCUACAUUUUAACUCCUUUGGACUAUCACCAGUAAUUUACCUGUGUUUCCUGACAGGUUAAGAAUGGUUUAAUUAACCAUGUUUAAAAUAAAUGUUUAUGGUUUAAGUUUGGAAGAGGAGGGGUAGGUUUUCCCUUGUCUGCCAUUUUGAUUAGCUGUUGUUUUAUGGUUGCUAAUGUUUCAGAUGUGGCUAUGAUACAUUUCCUUAUUUCUCUGGUGCUUCUCUAUUUUCAAGGCACUUUUCUAUUUAGGGAGCAAUUAGAAUGCCAUCAUGAGGCAGACAGGGUAGGCAUCAAUGCUCCAUUUUAUUAUGAGAAUUUUCCAUAUAAAAUAGAAACCUCAGCAGAAACAAAUUUCACCAUGGAUCAUCUAUGUACUUAACACAGUCUUGGAUGAUGAGGGUAAAAAAGAAUUCAAGUAGCUUAUAGUUCAAUUGGAGAGUAAACAAAUACUAAAUACCAAAUAUAAGUAGUUGCUUUGCAUGUAACCUUAGCAGGUGCCUAAUAGUGUUUUUUUUUUUUGAGAUGGAGUCUCGCUCUGUCAUCCAAGCUGGAGUGCAAUGGCAUGAUCUCAGCUCACUGCAACCUCCGCCUCCCGGGUUCAAACGAUUCUUCUGCCUCAGCCUCCCAAGUAGCUGGGACUACAGGCAUGCACCACCAAACAUGGCUAGUUUUUGUAUUUUUACCAUUUUGGCCAGGCUUGUCUCAAACUCCUGACCUCAUGAGCUGCCCGCCUUGGCCUCCUGUAGUGCUGGGGUUAUAGGCAUGAGCCACCCGGCCCAGCCCUAAUCAACAUUUUUUUAAAACUUGGUGUUAUAAAGGCUGUGAACUAUUAAAAUGGAAAAUACUCAGUAUCAACAGUAAAUGCUACAGGCAGUGGGAAGAGGUCAUUUCAGUAUGGAUUGACUUAAUAGAGGAGAUAGGCUCGAGACAGGACUUGAAUAGGCAAAGCAUAGUACUUGGACUAUUCUGGAAUAGAACAUUUGCACAUGAAUAAGGUAGCAGAAAACGGGAAUAAGAGUAACAUAACAAAAUCUUUGCUUUAGAAUGUUGUCCUGAUUCAGAAAAGCGGCAGUGAAGGCAGUGGCAGACAGAAAACUGAUGGCAGGUAGUGUUGUCUGAGUCGGUAAGAUGUUUUUGUAAGAUGAGGUCCAGGAAUUAGAGGGUAUGGGAAGUAUAUUUGGUCUUGUAAAGUCUGAAAUGUAAAAAAGGCACUUAAGUAUAAUUUAUGUAUUUUGCUUUUAACAUGUUAUUUAGGUAAACCAAACAUCUCUUUAGAAAAGUAGAAUAGCCUAAACUUAUCUGAAAGAGAUAUAGAAAGCUCCCUUUUCUCCAAUGGUGACACUCUCUUUGCUAUGAGAGUCAGACGGAGACCUGGGUUUGGAACUUGGUUUGCAUUUUCCUAUGGAGUUUUGGCCCUUAGACCACACAAGAGUAUUUAACUCGAGGUAUUUUAAUAUAUAACAUUUUUGCCACUAGGGAAAUACAUUUCCUCCAGGUCAAAUAAAAGAACAAAUCUCCAGGCAGACAAGUACCAGAGGUGGCAGCCAGAAGGGCUUUGGCAGUGUUAGCUCUUGGCAGUUCUGAGUUUCCCUUUAACCAGUCACUGCCCGGGAAUGCUGGUAGUGGCUCCAGAAACAGACCUGCCCUAGCCCCUAUGCCAGGGGCAGGACACUUUCUGAUACACAUAUACAUUCAGGCAAGUCCUAAAUCAGAUGGUAUAUAAAUUACCUACUGAAAGUGAAAAACCACCACUGAGGUUUGGAUAAUUUAGUAGGCACAAAUAUAUCAUUUCUUUCUGGACUUGAACAAAAAAAAAUCCAACAAAAAGUAGUUCUUGCUUUUAUAUAACCUCUUCCUUAUGUUAUUCAGUCAUGCAGUUAAAUUCCACACAAGAACGUAUGUAUGUAAUUUCAAGUAGUUGUUCUGAUUUAAAUGACAAAAUAUACAUUUGAUGUAUGUGAUCCAAAAGAAAAAAUAUAUACAUAUACACAUUUUAACAUAAAGGUGAAUGAUAACGAUUCUCAUCGUCAGCUUCUGGGCUCUCCAUUUGGAGUCAGCUCAUACCUGUAAGACAAUUAGGUUUGGACUUAACGUUAGUAGUGACAGUGUGUUGUGGUAACAGGACAAACUGCCAUUCCUGCCUGCCUGGGCCUCUGUGAGACCAGCAGAACCUGACUCUCUAAGUUGGCCAGCCAGGGUUCAGGGUUAAGGCUAGAGUUUACAGGUGUCUUUUAGGGUGUUGGUGAGAUCUGCAGGCAGUAAAGCCUUAAAUAAAGGUAUUCAUGUCUCUCCCUUCUUGAUAACCAAAGGAGCUGAAAUAGUACUGAAAGGGAAAACUGUCUUGAAUAGCAGGCUAACAGUGAUAAAAUGAGAGGGGACACUUACCAUUGUGAAAAGCCCCUAAUCAGAUCUUCUUUUGAUAAGUCAAUCAGUACCUAAAUAAACACAAAUAAUUAGUUCCCAUCCAAAACACUACAUUAAGGAAAGGAAUUGGGAUAAAGUGAAUUGAUCAUAGUCUUCUUGGUGUGUCAAAUAUCUCUUGUACUUACUUUUCCUAACUCCUUUCUUCUGUGCGAGCCUAGUGGCCUACUAUUUUUCACGGCAACAUCAAGUGACCUCUUCUUUACUUCUUCCAUGGGAACAAAAAAUUCAAAUCUUUAAAGAAGCAAAAGUCAGGAAGUUAGAAUUUCAUAUUUCAUUCAGUUUUCUUGAAAAUCUAAAGUGCUUCAUUCAUUUCCCUACUAAAACAGAUGAUAACAGGCUAUUAGGAGCACCUAGAGCAGGACUGGCUUGUAAGUACUCACAGUGUAUCAUUACUACAGAUAAUCACUGUCCUGUGUUGUUCACAAAACCCAGAAAUACUAAGAGGCUGUUUGCCUAGAAUGCCUCAGACUAUUGUGGCUUAGUUGGCAUCUUUCUUUCUCCAAUUCUUCCCUGGCUACCAGUCUUUUAGCUGGCUCUCCUCACCCCGAAUAGUACCUGCUCAUAGGACUGCCUCAACCCCUUUCUCAGUGUUCUCUCACCAGCUAAGGGCCAGAACACUGAACAGUUAGGUUUGCUCUAGUUGCAUGGAAAAUAGUGGCCACCUCCUGUGGAGUAAGGCAGAGGAAACCUCUUUCUUUUAGGUUUAUUUUUAUGGUGGAGGUUGCCAACUCUAUCUUCCAGACAAUCCAGGCUUAUCUUGCUGUCAUACGUUUGAGAAUUACUAACAGAUUUAGGUUUGUCACAAAAGUCAGAUGUUAAGCCUUUUCCCUCCUAUGUUCCCACAUGAUUUUUUAAAAUCCCUUAGCUACAUAGUAGUUACCAUACCACAGUUUUUACAUCUUUUUAUAAUUAUGUUAGCACUCCCUUAGAGGGCAAAAUGUCUUACUUGUAUGGCUCUAGAGUACAGGACAGUGCCUAGCAUAAAGCAUUCAGUAAAUGUUGAAUGAAUAGUCUCUCUUCCCCAUACCCUUUCCUUAACACUGAUGAACUCAAAGCAUAGCUCUCAAAGGAACAUAUUAGUUCUUAGACAUGGCCCAAAGAGGACUCAGUGUAACCCUUUUUAAAAAAGUUAUUGAUCAGGAUAAUUAUGAGAUGUAGUAUUUUACUAAGCUGGCUAGAAAUGUCUUUUUAGAACCCUGAAGCAGAAGGAUGCACUUAUGAGAUUCAGACUUCUAAGAAUAAAAAUAUUUGGGAUAAGACUUGCCACCAAUGGCCCAUCAAAAGCAAUUAAUGUGAUUACAGUCACCCUUGUCCCCAAGGACACAGUGGACAAGCCUUUGUGGAGAAGGGGAGGGAAUCUGCUCCAUCUGCCACCUAUGUUUUGUUGCAGGAGGGAAGAUAAGCCAAAGAGCGUCAAGCUUUAGAGGAAACUUUAGGUCCUUAGGUUCAAGGAAUGUUUAUUUUUAACUGCUGGGAUUAAAACAGAUCCAAAAAAAUAUUUGAACACAUUCUAAUCUUUUUACUACCAGAGAGAACUUAAUUUAAACAAAGAGUAGAGAACAUUACAUAUUCAGGAACACUUUAGGCUCUAUGGGCAGUAAAUGUAGGAAACCAUUUUGAUAAACUUCCCUGCUACUCCUUUUUUUCCACUACAGUACAGAACCUUCAUGAAGUCAUAGACUAUGUUAUCUUGUUCAGCCAUAACCCCUUCCAGCAUCUGGCAGGCUGCCAGGCAACAUAACAGGUACUUGACACACACUCAAAUAGAUGAGGCACUCUAGGCAGGUCACCGGCCCACUUACGUCUCAUCAAACAGGGGUUCCAAGGUCUUCCGCUUCACUGAAGUCUUCUUACGACAUGUCCACUUCCUUUCUGGCAACAAGUAGACACGGACGUAGGGAUCAGCUCCACUGCUCGUACAUGGUGUCAGGUUUCUGAUUUGGUGUCAAAGACAUUAGGGAAAAAAAGGCCCCUGGUUUUCACACACUGAAAAUACUUAUUUGGGAGAAGUUUAUAUUAGCCAUUCAGCAUUAGAUACCCUUGAGGACAAAAAUGCUCAGUGGUCCUGAUGAUCAAGUCUGUAGAAUUGAGAGGACAAAAUAGACGCAUGGUUUUGAAGACAUGCAUCUUUAUAAAGCUUGGGGUAGAGCAAGUACUGGAUGGAAGCUCGAGACUGUCACUUGGAAAAUGUACUGGCUACCAGCCACUCAGGACAGUCUUGCAGUGUUUGCAUCUGAGCAAAGCCCUUGGCUCUUGAGCCCGUCAGCACCACUGAAGAAUGACGGCCUGAGUGCCCCUUUAAGGACUUUGUUACAAUGUUCAGGGUUUCAAAUCUCUCUUUCUUUUUCCCCCAGAGUGUCCUUUAUCUUGGGACUGUGUGCCCUGUUCAUUGCUCUGAGUGUCCCUACUCUGAUUUAUGGUCACCUGAUGCUCCCAAAGAACCUCCUUGGCCCUAGAAUCUCUUUACCUGCAGCUGUUGAUGAGCACACGGAGGCAGCGCCGUAGACACACAUAGCGCACUGUGAGCUGAAUCUCGCCCAGCUGCCGCCGCCUGAGGUCCCCACCUCUGUAAAGAAAGAGCACAUCACUUCUCUUGCUGUAAUACAUUGGCCCUCUUCCCCCACCCCCAAAGACAAAGAAGCAUUCCUGCUAGGGGAGCAUAGAGCCAUGUGGGAUAAUCUGCAGUGAGUUUACUUUCUGUUGGAAUUAGUUCCAUCCAGCACUCAUGUAUAAUUAUCCUACUUCACGGUAGGAAGAAUGGGAACCCUAAGGUGGGAUCUGCCUUUGUAUCAUGAUUCCUUUUGGGACCUUGAAUGAAUGUAUUCAACUUUUAUGAUAAGUCCCAUCUUGUAGGGUUAUUGUGAAAGUUGAAUUAAAUCAGAUAACAUGCUAAGCCCAUAGUAAACCCUUCAUAAAUGACAGCCAUUUAUUACAUAAUACUGCAUAUUAAACUUUCCAUAUCAUCCCAGUUUAACACUUUAGAAUCAGGAAAUGGUUCUGCUGGAAGGGACCUUACCAGCCACAGUCCAGCAUCUAUUUUCCAGUCAGUACGGAGCUAGAGCCAUAACCAGCCUGUCUGUCCCUCCCUCCCUUAUACUGUGUUCUACCACACCAUGCUGCCUCUUACGAAGAAAUUUUGUGGAAAAACAGAACUUGUACAGAAAUGUAAGUUCAUAUCUACUUUUCCACCCAGUGAGGUAUUUUUCAUACAGGCGAUUUUAGAAAAGAUUAAGGAGAGAGGUGCAUACUCAAUAUUGAGGCUGAUAUCUGCCAGAUCAAAGCAGGAAGAGGCCAGGGAGUUGAGCGAGGACAUGCUGGGAGCCAGCCUCUUGGGCGGCCAUGCGAAUGGGGAAGAAGGGCAUUUCAUUGGUCUGGGUGACUUGAUGGGUCCUGGAGAGUGGGGGCCUGGGACAGUCAGGAAGAUGGUGGUUGAACUCUUCUUCUGCCCCAUGGGCUCACAGAACCUUUUGGCAUUGUCCUUGCCCUUGGGCUCUGGGCCUAUCUCUUGGGGUGUGGGCUCAGUGGCAAUGGUGGCAGCAGUGGUAGCACUGGUGGUGGUUGUGGUACUCUUGGUUGUGUCCUUAGUUUCAGAAGCAGAGUCUGGGGGACAUGGCAAAUCUGUAGGGCCUUCUUCCUGAGGUGGGGCUUUGGGACUCUGGUUGGUAGCCACCUUCUUGAUGAGCAGAGGGCCUUUCUUUAGGGCUUCAGGUCCUGUGUAUGGGCUCCCCAGCUCUCGUUCCUCCACUCGAAGGAACUGCAAGCCAGAUAAGAGGGUGGUUUAUGAGCUGGGCCACCAAUUCUAUAACCUCAGUCAUUGUUUCUCCUUCCCCCUUUCCCUUUAGUUGUGAAUUAUUAAGACCCUUUCUUGGGACUUCCAUUUCUAAUAAUACAUACGGUUUUCGAAAUAUUCUGAAAAACUUGUUAGAAAUGCCAAAUUCACAAGAAAAUAAGGAUAAUUCUGUUAAAACUGAAAAAUAAAAGUUAAGCCUUCCUAGGGUUGUAUAUCAACCUUGGAAUUCAGGGAGUUAGAAGAAGAGGCUGUGAGGCUAGGAGAUGAAGGGAAGACCCAUGAAGGUGGGAUCUCUUUAGUAAAAAAGUAGUUUAGAAUAAAAAUUAUUCUGCCUACCGGCAAAGACUGAUGAGAAGAACACGUGUUUGUCACAGCCUGUACUCUGGUUGGAGGGUACAAAGCCUUCCCUACUAACAUGACACCUCAUAGGCCUGUCCUCUUACGAAUUUUGAGUAUAAAUAUGAGCUACCUAUGGAAUCUUGAAACCCAAAGUUAAAAAAUUAACAUAAAAAUGGACUCAGGUUUGUAAUGCACCUGAGGUUCUGGACUGCAGCAAAAGCAGAAACUCCUUGGAAGAGAACAACCUCAAUCCAGGUCAUAAAGGAACACUGAACACAUGUUUGCAAUCCAAGUUAUAAAACAGAAAUGAGUUACCAUCAAAAACCAUCAACAGGUCAGGCACAGUGGCUCCCACCUGUAAUCCCAGCACUUUGGGAGGCGGAUCACUAGGUCAGGAGUUUAAGACCAGCCUGGCUAAUUUGGUGAAACCCCAUCUCUAUUAAUAAUACACAACUUAGCCAGGCGUGGUGGCACACACCUGUAGUCCCAGCUACUCGGGUGACCGAGGCAGAAGAAUUGCUUGAAGCUGGAAGGCAGAGGUUGCAGUGAGCUGAGAUUGCGCCACUGCAUUCCAGCCUGGGUGACAGAGCAAAACUCUGUCUCAAAAAAAAAAAAAAAUCAACAGACAAAACAAACAUCAAAAUUUAACUCCUAAGAUCUUCAAAUAAUAGAACAUACAUAUUAAUACAUUGUAACAUACUUGUUUUUUUCUUUUUGAGACAGGGUCUCAUUCUGUUGCCCAGACUGAAGUGCAGUAGUGCGAUCUCAGCUCACCACAACCUCAAUCUCCCAAAGCAAUUACCCUGUCUCAGCCUACUCAGUAGCUGGGAUUACAGGUGGGCACCACUACCACCCAACUAAUUUUGUAUUUUUAGUAGAGAUGGGGUUUCACCAUGUUGGCCAGGAUGGUCUCAAACUCCUGACCUCAGAUGAUCCACCUGCCUUGGCCUCCCAAAGUCCUGAGAUUACAGGCGUAAGCCACCACACCUGACCUAUUGUAACAUAUUUUCAAAUGACCUAAACAUGAGAAGAUAAUAAAAUUCUAUGAGAAAAUACCAAGUAGAUUUGGAAAAGAUAAAAAUAGAAAUGAAAAAUCACCGUUAAAAAAAACCAUGAACAGGUUAAACCACAAACUAGGCACAGCCAAAGAAUGAAUUAGUGGUCUGGAAGACAGUUCUGAGGGAAUUGGAAUGUACCACCAUUGACUACAGAGAUGGGAAAUAUAAAGGUGAGGUCAAGAGGCAUGGAGGAUAAAUGAGAAGGUACAUUAUAGAAAUUCUAGAAAGAGGAAUUUAAAAAGAAUGGAGCAGAGGCAGUAUUUGAAGAGCCAGUAUCUCUUCAAACAUUGACUUGCUCCCAUUCAGUAUUCCAAAAUUGAUGAAAAACAUGAAUCCAUCUCCUGGCUUCUUCCAGUUACACAGCAGGUGCUUAGUGCUGGGUAGUUCAACCUGCUUCACUGCCAGAGCUCUAUUCCUCCCUCCCCCAGGGGGCAGGAGAGAUUUACCCGAAGUACCAGCCUCAUGGAGAUGAGGCUGUCCAGGCCUGAGUGGUCCAGCUGAAAGCGCUGCUCAAGAGUUAGGUCAGCAUAGGGGAGGAUCUGGCACAGGGGGACCUCCAGCAUUCCCAGAGCAUACUCCUGGUCAUCAUCAAGCACCUAGGCAGUGGGCCAGUCACAAAACAAGAGGAUCACCAAGCCCCACCACACCACUACUAGUGUCUGGGCCCCAACCAAGUUUAGGUUUACUUUAGUCUGUACUAUGCUUCUAUGGGCAUCUAUUCCUAUUCUGAAAACUAGAAUGGGAUCAGGCCACUCCUGAUCCUUGCCUGGCAAGACAGUGACAAUUAUGAUAUGUAUGAGCUAGUCCGUUAAAUGCCCAGAGCCAGUGGGCUUUGGGGACUGAUGAGCUGUGCUGCUCCCCAGGCAGGGCUGAGGGCCCCAGAAUAUCCCCGUUCCAUCACUGUUGGUAUUGAGAUCUUGGACAAGACAUUGUUUUUGCCUCUCUUUGCUCAUUCUACAGAUUUUUGUGAAGAUUAAAUGAAGUGUGUGUGUGUGUGUGUACACCAUUAAUGUCCUGUGUAGAUUCCAGCACAGGAUAUUCUGGGUGCUGUGUAGCAAAUAUAAAGACCCUUUUGCAGGGAAAGUCAAGGGGCUUAAGGGUUUAU
Molecule: non-coding RNA, 12801 nt
Organism: Callithrix jacchus (white-tufted-ear marmoset)
Lineage: Eukaryota; Metazoa; Chordata; Mammalia; Primates; Cebidae
Source: RefSeq, a predicted model, not a curated record